This 450-nucleotide ribosomal RNA is filed under the name uncultured Glomus. Its description in RNAcentral is "SSU rRNA". It matches the Rfam family "Eukaryotic small subunit ribosomal RNA", at positions 569 to 1024 of the family's 1831-position model. Lineage: Eukaryota; Fungi; Glomeromycota; Glomeromycetes; Glomerales; Glomeraceae. The record is from RNAcentral.
AGCAGCCGCGGUAAUUCCAGCUCCAAUAGCGUAUAUUAAAGUUGUUGCAGUUAAAAAGCUCGUAGUUGAAUUUCGGGAUCAAUAUGUUGGUCGUGCCUUUGGUACGUACUAGUUUAUUGGUUUCUUCCUUCUGACGAACCAUGAUGUCAUUAAUUUGGUGUCAUGGGGAAUCAGGACUGUUACUUUGAAAAAUUAGAGUGUUUAAAGCAGGCUUCACGCUUGAAUACAUUAGCAUGGAAUAAUGAAAUAGGACGUUUGAUUCUAUUUUGUUGGUUUUUAGGAUCGACGUAAUGAUUAAUAGGGAUAGUUGGGGGCAUUAGUAUUCAAUUGUCAGAGGUGAAAUUCUUGGAUUUAUUGAAGACUAACUACUGCGAAAGCAUUUGCCAAGGAUGUUUUCAUUAAUCAAGAACGAAAGUUAGGGGAUCGAAGACGAUCAGAUACCGUCGUAGU